CGGUAAUUCCAGCUCCAAUAGCGUAUACUAACGUUGUUGCAGUUAAAAAGCUCGUAGUUGGAUUUCUGGACGAUGACGUUUGGGUGGAGCCUCGUUGCUCCACUGAUCGUUCAUUGUUCAAAAUUUGUGAAAAGUCUUCAUGAUUCAUUCGUUUGGAUCUGUUGAUUAAUCACUCGUUUACUUUGAGAAAAUUAGAGUGUUCAAAGCAGGCAAUCGCCUUGAAUAUGUUAGCAUGGAAUAAUAACAUAGGACUUUUGUUCUAUUUGUUGGUUGUUCGAGAACGGGAGUAAUGAUUGAUAGGGACGGUUGGGGGCAUCCGUAUUCCCAAGCGAGAGGUGAAAUUCUUGGACCUUGGGAAGACGAACAGAUGCGAAAGCGUUUGCCAAGGACGUUCUCUUUAAUCAAGAACGAAAGUUGGGGGAUCGAAGACGAUCAGAUACCGUCGUAGUCUCAACUAUAAACUAUGCCAGCUAGGGAUCGGCGGGAUCUUGUCACGGAUCCGUCGGCACCUUACGAGAAAUCAAAGCAUUUGGGUUCCGGGGGGAGUAUGGUCGCAAGGCUGAAACUUAAAGGAAUUGACGGAAGGGCACCACCAGGAGUGGAGCCUGUGGCUUAAUUUGACUCAACACGGGAAAACUUACCAGGUCCGGACAUAGUAAGGAUUGACAGAUUGAAAGCUCUUUCUUGAUUCUAUGGGUGGUGGUGCAUGGCCGUUCUUAGUUGGUGGAGUGAUUUGUCUGGUUAAUUCCGUUAACGAACGAGACCCGCGCCUGCUAAAUAGCUUGCGUACUACGGUACCGUUAGCUUCUUAGAGGGACCAUCCUGCGUCUAGCGGAAGGAAGUUGCGGGCAAUAACAGGUCUGUGAUGCUCUUAGAUGUUCUGGGCCGCACACGGGCUACACUGGAGGGUACAACGAGCUUUACGCCGUACCGAAAGGUAAGGCCAAUCUUUGAAUACCCUCCGUGAUUGGGAUAGACCCUUGCAAUUUUUGGCCUUCAACGAGGAAUUCCUAGUAAACGCGUGUCAACGACACGCAUUGAUUACGUCCCUGCCCCUUGUACACACCGCCC
This 1071-nucleotide ribosomal RNA is filed under the name uncultured eukaryote. Its description in RNAcentral is "bacterial SSU rRNA". It matches the Rfam family "Eukaryotic small subunit ribosomal RNA", at positions 577 to 1674 of the family's 1831-position model. The record is from RNAcentral.